GUGGGGAAUUUUGGACAAUGGGCGCAAGCCUGAUCCAGCAAUGCCGCGUGCAGGAAGAAGGCCUUCGGGUUGUAAACUGCUUUUGUACGGAACGAAACGGUCCGGGUUAAUACCCUGGGCUAAUGACGGUACCGUAAGAAUAAGCACCGGCUAACUACGUGCCAGCAGCCGCGGUAAUACGUAGGGUGCGAGCGUUAAUCGGAAUUACUGGGCGUAAAGCGUGCGCAGGCGGUUUUGUAAGACAGGCGUGAAAUCCCCGGGCUCAACCUGGGAACUGCGUUUGUGACUGCAAAGCUGGAGUGCGGCAGAGGGGGAUGGAAUUCCGCGUGUAGCAGUGAAAUGCGUAGAUAUGCGGAGGAACACCGAUGGCGAAGGCAAUCCCCUGGGCCUGCACUGACGCUCAUGCACGAAAGCGUGGGGAGCAAACAGGAUUAGAUACCCCUGUAGUCC
Molecule: ribosomal RNA, 450 nt
Filed under: uncultured bacterium
Lineage: Bacteria
Description: bacterial SSU rRNA
Rfam family: Bacterial small subunit ribosomal RNA
Source: RNAcentral